This 505-nucleotide ribosomal RNA is filed under the name uncultured bacterium. RNAcentral's name for it is "partial 16S ribosomal RNA". It matches the Rfam family "Bacterial small subunit ribosomal RNA", at positions 28 to 507 of the family's 1533-position model. The record is from RNAcentral.
GACGAACGCUGGCGGCGUGCCUAAUACAUGCCAGUAGAACGCACAGUUUAUACCGUAGCUUGCUACACCAUAAACUGUGAGUUGCGAACGGGUGAGUAACGCGUAGGUAACCUGCCUGGUAGCGGGGGAUAACUAUUGUAAACGAUAGCUAAUACCGCAUAAUAUUAAUUAUUGCAUGAUAAUUGAUUGAAAGAUGCAAUUGCAUCACUACCAGAUGGACCUGCGUUGUAUUAGCUAGUAGGUGAGGUAACGGCUCACCUAGGCGACGAUACAUAGCCGACCUGAGAGGGUGAUCGGACACACUGGGACUGAGACACGGCCCAGACUCCUACGGGAGGCAGCAGUAGGGAAUCGUCGGCAAUGGACGAAAGUCUGACCGAGCAACGCCGCGUGAGUGAAGAAGGGUUUCGGAUCGUAAAGCUCUGUUGUAAGAGAAGAACGGGAGUGAGAGUGGAAAGUUCACACUGUGACGGUAUCUUACCAGAAAGGGACGGCUAACUACGUG